This 94-nucleotide microRNA precursor is filed under the name Paramuricea clavata. Lineage: Eukaryota; Metazoa; Cnidaria; Anthozoa; Malacalcyonacea; Plexauridae. The record is from RNAcentral.
AUCCCGUUCCCAGAAUAUGCCUGUUCGCGGGUUAGGUAGUGGCAUGGCACUACCUAACCCGCAAACAGGCAUACUCUGGGAACGAGCUUGAAUU